AACGCGAAGAACCUUACCUGGGCUUGAACUACUCGUGGUAAGCCGAUGGAAACAUUGGCUGACCCGCAAGGGAGCGAGCAGAGGUGCUGCAUGGUUGUCGUCAGCUCGUGUCGUGAGAUGUUGGGUUAAGUCCCGCAACGAGCGCAACCCCUACUCGAUGUUGCUAAUCCCGCAAGGGAUGCACUCUUCGAGAACUGCCUUCGAUAAGAAGGAGGAAGGUGGGGACGACGUCAAAUCCUCAUGGCCCUUAUGUCCAGGGCUACACACGUGCUACAAUGGCCGGUACAACGGGAAGCAAUACCGUAAGGUGGAGCAAAACCCUGAAAGCCGGCCCCAGUUCAGAUUGUGGGCUGCAACUCGCCCACAUGAAGGCGGAAUCGCUAGUAAUCGCGAAUCAGCAGGUCGCGGUGAAUACGUUCCCGGGCCUUGUA
This 431-nucleotide ribosomal RNA is filed under the name uncultured Elusimicrobium sp. RNAcentral's name for it is "bacterial SSU rRNA". It matches the Rfam family "Bacterial small subunit ribosomal RNA", at positions 958 to 1385 of the family's 1533-position model. The record is from RNAcentral. Lineage: Bacteria; Pseudomonadati; Elusimicrobiota; Elusimicrobia; Elusimicrobiales; Elusimicrobiaceae.